GACGAACGCUGGCGGCGUGCUUAACACAUGCAAGUCGAACGGUGAAGCGCCUUCCUUUUUGGUGGGUGUGGAUGAGUGGCGAACGGGUGAGUAACACGUGAGUAACCUGCCCCCUUCUUCUGGAUAACCGCAUGAAAGUGUGGCUAAUACGGGAUAUUCUGGGUCUGUCGCAUGAUGGGUCUGGGAAAGAUUUUGUUUCGGUGGGGGAUGGGCUCGCGGCCUAUCAGCUUGUUGGUGGGGUGAUGGCCUACCAAGGCGGUGACGGGUAGCUGGCCUGAGAGGGUGGACGGUCACACUGGGACUGAGACACGGCCCAGACUCCUACGGGAGGCAGCAGUGGGGAAUGUUGCACAGUGGGCGCAAGGCUGAUGCAGCGACGCCGCGGGAGGGAUGGAGGCCUUCGGGUUGUGAACCUCUUUCGCCAGUGAAGCAGGCCUGCCUCGUUUGUGGGUGGGUUGACGGUAGCUGGAGAAGAAGCGCCGGCUAACUACGUG
Molecule: ribosomal RNA, 494 nt
Filed under: uncultured bacterium
Lineage: Bacteria
Description: partial 16S ribosomal RNA
Rfam family: Bacterial small subunit ribosomal RNA
Source: RNAcentral